This 332-nucleotide ribosomal RNA is filed under the name uncultured eukaryote. RNAcentral's name for it is "partial 18S ribosomal RNA". It matches the Rfam family "Eukaryotic small subunit ribosomal RNA", at positions 592 to 976 of the family's 1831-position model. The record is from RNAcentral.
CAGUAGCGUAUAUUAAAGUUGUUGCAGUUAAAAAGCUCGUAGUUGAAUUUCGGGUCCCCGCGCUCGGCGCUUCAUUGUGCCGUCGUGGUGUCCCUCCUCGCCGUAAGGCGUCCUUUACUGUGAAAAAAUUAGAGUGUUCAAAGCAGGCAAUCGCUUGAAUACAUUAGCAUGGAAUAAUAAGAUAGGAUCUUGUCUAUUUUGUUGGUUGCGGACAACGAUAAUGAUUAAUAGGGAUAGUUGGGGGUGUCCGUAUUGAGCUGUCAGAGGUGAAAUUCUUGGAUUUGCUCAAGACGAACUACUGCGAAAGCAUUCACCAAGGAUGUUUUCAUUAA